Mastomys coucha (southern multimammate mouse) is the source of this 1648-nucleotide long non-coding RNA. RefSeq lists it as uncharacterized. The transcript has 3 exons. Lineage: Eukaryota; Metazoa; Chordata; Mammalia; Rodentia; Muridae. The record is from RefSeq and is a predicted model, not a curated record.
UCAGGGUGGUAGGAGCCUGAUGUGGAGGGGCAUCUUCAUUUCUUAGUGGUCAGGAAACUGAGAGAGGGGUUGGGAGGUACAGGAAGCGCGCCUCCCCCCCGCCCCCCGCCCCCGAGAUAUAGCCACGGGGAUAUUCCUAACCUACUUCCUAUCCCUAAGACCCAACUCCUGAUGUUUUCAGAGCCUCCCAGAACAGUGCUGACAGCUGAGGAUUAGCCUUACAAUGUGUGUGUCUCUGCGCAGGGGCAAACCGUGACAGAAACCAAGCAGUGUGAUUGUUGAAGCUGAUCUCCAACCAUUCGCUAAUUAAAAAUGUAGGUUCAAAGAAAUAAACAGCAGUGGCUUGAAUGUAGUGAAUGGAGGGACGUGCUUCCCCUGACACGCUUGAGGUGGGGACUGUGGCCCUCGCCCACCGAGAGCCUUUCAAGCAGGAGGAAGACCAAAGCCAGCAGCAACCUCCCAGACCCCAUCAGCCAUGGUGACCCAUUCUCAGCCCAGUCCUGAAGGCUGAAAAAUUUGUUAUUAUGACUUAUACUUCUCAACAAGUCACAACUUGUUGAGGUCUCCCUGGAUGACUGAGUAAAUGGAUGAAGAAAGCAUGUGUCCAGAUUAUUAUAGGAAUCAACUGAACUUGAUAUUAAAAAGUGUGGACACAAAAAGUGAACCAUAUCACUAAUGUUGAGGAUUCCUUGCUCCUCCCAGCAGUCUGGUCCUCCACAUGGAGCAGCAGUUCCUAUGGUUUUAGGAAGAAUUUCCUGGCAUAGAAGCAAAAGAUGAGCUUCAACUCCACCCCACAGAAUGACAUCAAGCCUGGACUAAUGAGCUGGAGAAUGCUUUCCUGCCGUGUUUUCUGAAAUGCUCCUUAUAGGAGAGAUAUGGAAUCUGCUGUUGAUCUUGGUCAUGGAAGGAUGCUGGCUUUGCCAGUCCUCUCCAGGAAAGGAAACAUUAGCCCACAGAUCAGAAACGGGGGAAAAAGAAGGUUAAUAGGAAAAGGAAGUUGGAGACCUGUUUAAAAGUAGUUCCCUGGGACAAUUCAACUCUUGUCAGGAUACGAACAGUCUCGUUCAAUAGCAAACACCAAACACAAAUGAAUAUGGCUGCCCGAUCCACCAGAAACAGCAAGGCUCUGCUGAAUAGGCACAAGUCAGCAGAAGUGGCCAGAAUCCGCUGGAACACCACAAGACCUUUGGCACGUUUCUCUCUACGAAAUGAACACCAGUGAAGCAUUGUACAGCCUAGCAAUAUGACCUUGAGCCUGUGAUGCAUCCUGCCUAGAAGCUUUGUAUGCACAUCCAGAACAACUGCUCUCCAUCCUACGGAGUGAUGUGCAUAAUGUGGGCUUUUUACCGCUGUAAUGAUGGCAGGUGACGGGGGAUAUGGCAUUUAGUAGCCAAGAGACCAAGAUGCCAGCUGUCUCAAUGCAUAGACCCCUCCAUAGUAACCAAGUGCCUCAUCUCCUGUAUGAUCUCCCAGUGUGUUUGUAGACAUAUCACAGAGUGGAGAAACAAACAAAGAAACAAACACUAAAAACCUCUGUAUACGGUUGGAGUUGAAAACCUAACUCUAAGUUAGAUGGAAAAGGAAGCCAUUGUUGUAUAUAGAUUUCAUAAAUUUUCCUAAAUUCAUAAAUUUUCCAUGAAUGCAACUG